Molecule: ribosomal RNA, 683 nt
Filed under: uncultured Bacilli bacterium
Lineage: Bacteria; Bacillati; Bacillota; Bacilli
Description: bacterial SSU rRNA
Rfam family: Bacterial small subunit ribosomal RNA
Source: RNAcentral
GACCGACGGGAGCUUGCUCCCUUAGGUCAGCGGCGGACGGGUGAGUAACACGUGGGUAACCUGCCUGUAAGACUGGGAUAACUCCAGGAAACCGGGGCUAAUACCGGAUGCUUGAUUGAACCGCAUGGUUCAAUCAUAAAAGGUGGCUUUCAGCUACCACUUACAGAUGGACCCGCGGCGCAUUAGCUAGUUGGUGAGGUAACGGCUCACCAAGGCGACGAUGCGUAGCCGACCUGAGAGGGUGAUCGGCCACACUGGGACUGAGACACGGCCCAGACUCCUACGGGAGGCAGCAGUAGGGAAUCUUCCGCAAUGGACGAAAGUCUGACGGAGCAACGCCGCGUGAGUGAUGAAGGUUUUCGGAUCGUAAAACUCUGUUGUUAGGGAAGAACAAGUACCGUUCGAAUAGGGCGGCACCUUGACGGUACCUAACCAGAAAGCCACGGCUAACUACGUGCCAGCAGCCGCGGUAAUACGUAGGUGGCAAGCGUUGUCCGGAAUUAUUGGGCGUAAAGCGCGCGCAGGCGGUUUCUUAAGUCUGAUGUGAAAGCCCCCGGCUCAACCGGGGAGGGUCAUUGGAAACUGGGGAACUUGAGUGCAGAAGAGGAGAGUGGAAUUCCACGUGUAGCGGUGAAAUGCGUAGAGAUGUGGAGGAACACCAGUGGCGAAGGCGACUCUCUGGU